Molecule: ribosomal RNA, 250 nt
Filed under: uncultured bacterium
Lineage: Bacteria
Description: partial 16S ribosomal RNA
Rfam family: Bacterial small subunit ribosomal RNA
Source: RNAcentral
UACAGAGGCGGCAAGCGUUGUUCGGAAUUAUUGGGCGUAAAGAGCACGUAGGCGGCUGUGUAAGUCGGUUGUGAAAGCCUUCCGCUCAACGGAAGAACGGCAUCCGAUACUGCAUGGCUUGAGUGUGGGAGGGGAGAGUGGAACUUCUGGUGGAGCGGUGAAAUGCGUAGAUAUCAGGAGGAACACCGGUGGCGAAGGCGGCACUCUGGGCCAGUACUGACGCUGAGGAGCGAAAGCUAGGGGAGCAAAC